This 667-nucleotide ribosomal RNA is filed under the name uncultured Candidatus Saccharibacteria bacterium. Its description in RNAcentral is "bacterial SSU rRNA". It matches the Rfam family "Bacterial small subunit ribosomal RNA", at positions 788 to 1484 of the family's 1533-position model. Lineage: Bacteria; Candidatus Saccharimonadota. The record is from RNAcentral.
GGGUAGUCCACGCCGUAAACGAUGGAUACUGGCUGUUGGAGGUAUCGACCCCUUCAGUAGCGAAGCUAACGCGUUAAGUAUCCCGCCUGUGGAGUACGGCCGCAAGGCUAAAACAUAAAGGAAUUGACGGGGACCCGCACAAGCGGUGGAUCGUGUUCUUUAAUUCGAUGCUAAACGAAGAACCUUACCAGGGCUUGACAUCCAGGGAAUUUUUGGGAAACCAAUUAGUGCCGUUUGGAACCCUGUGACAGGUGAUGCAUGGCCGUCGUCAGCUCGUGUCGUGAGAUGUUUGGUUAAGUCCAUCAACGAGCGCAACCCUUGUGUCUAGUUGUAUUUUUCUAGACAGACUGCUUCGGUAACGGAGAGGAAGGAGGGGAUGAUGUCAGGUCAGUAUUUCCCUUACGUCCUGGGCUAGAAACACGAUACAAUGGCUAGUACAAUGCGCAGCGAAGCCGCGAGGUGAAGCAAAUCGCACCAAAGCUAGUCCCAGUUCGGAUUGGAGGCUGAAACUCGCCUCCAUGAAGUCGGAAUCGCUAGUAAUCGCAAAUCAGCAAGUUGCGGUGAAUACGUUCCCGGGUCUUGUACACACCGCCCGUCAAACCAUGAAAGUGACCAACACCCGAGGUCCGAUUCGUCGGCCUAAGGUGGGGGGCAUGAUUGGGGUUUU